This 283-nucleotide ribosomal RNA is filed under the name uncultured Enterococcus sp. Its description in RNAcentral is "partial 16S ribosomal RNA". It matches the Rfam family "Bacterial small subunit ribosomal RNA", at positions 72 to 339 of the family's 1533-position model. Lineage: Bacteria; Bacillati; Bacillota; Bacilli; Lactobacillales; Enterococcaceae. The record is from RNAcentral.
ACCGGAGCUUGCUCCACCGGAAAAAAGAGGAGUGGCGAACGGGUGAGUAACACGUGGGUAACCUGCCCAUCAGAAGGGGGAUAACACUUGGAAACAGGUGCUAAUACCGUAUAACAAUCAAAACCGCAUGGUUUUGAUUUGAAAGGCGCUUUCGGGUGUCGCUGAUGGAUGGACCCGCGGUGCAUUAGCUAGUUGGUGAGGUAACGGCUCACCAAGGCCACGAUGCAUAGCCGACCUGAGAGGGUGAUCGGCCACAUUGGGACUGAGACACGGCCCAAACUCC